GGGGCUGACCUGGCUUCGAAGUAGGUACGGAGUCGGAACAGUGCACGCCGAGCACCAGUUCGCUCGUUAAUCCACUGGAAACAAAUUAACUGCGAACGACUCUUCGUACGCCCUCGCCGCUUAAAACCGGUGA
Molecule: transfer-messenger RNA, 133 nt
Filed under: Rhizobacter sp.
Lineage: Bacteria; Pseudomonadati; Pseudomonadota; Betaproteobacteria; Burkholderiales; Sphaerotilaceae
Description: partial transfer-messenger RNA
Rfam family: transfer-messenger RNA
About the family: Bacterial tmRNA, also known as 10Sa RNA or SsrA, is named for its dual tRNA and mRNA-like properties. Its role is to liberate the mRNA from a stalled ribosome.
Source: RNAcentral